AUGCCCGAGUGGGUGAGAGACUGCACAGAGAAGAGACAAGACUGCCACCUCCUCUGCAAACCUCACAGAAAUGACUCCACUGUCAGGAUUUCCUGGAGGGCCACCUUUGCACAUAUGUUUGAGAAGAGGCUGGCAACUCUGAGGUGCUCCUUGAACAUGCUGUGCAUAUAUCUUGCAUCCAUCUUUUCACUUGGGAACCUCUUUGGAUGCUGUGAAGGUCUACGCCAUGUGGUAAGCCCUGCAGCCAUGUUGAAUCACUGUGAUUUUAUAUUAUUACCUUGCUUGUGGUCUCACUGGGGUUCUGGCUUGCCCCUAUUUCUAUACUAAAAUGUGAAUUCCUCUCCCAUCUGGGGACAUACCCCAUGAGUCUCACCACACGUGCCAAUGACAGACAGAUUGAUUUGGAGAGUAUUACUAAUGGGUUGGUUUGGGCCUCAGCCACAAAUAUAAUCAAAAUCUCCUCUCAAAUUCUAAUUAUUUUCAAAAUAUGUGAUAUCUUGGAUUGAUGUAAUCAGAACCACAAGAGGGCGUGAAAUGUGACAGCAGAAAGUAGCACAGCUCAAGGUUCAUCUGGCCUAAAGGAUUCACAUUGUGUGUAUUUUCGUUCCUGUUCUGUUGUGAGCCAGUCAGUCCGAGCUCAAAAGACCUGAGCAAAUUGCACUGUGUGGUGCCCCAGCAGCCAACUAAUUACUGUCUCCACUAGAAUGGAAGGCUUCAUGAAGGUACCUAGCUGGCCUGCUAUACAUAUUCAUUGAAGGAAGGCAGGAAGGAAGGAAGAAAAGAAGGGAGGGAGGGAGAGAGGGAGGGAGGAAGGAAAGGAAGACUAGCUCUAUGACUCUGAUCAAUACUCAGUUGUCUUGUCUGUAAAAUUGGGACAAACAUAUGGUCUCAUAGGGAUGUUAUGAGAAUUAAAUGAGAGAGAUUCUAAAGUUAAGACCUUUGUUUGUUUUAAUUCUUAGAAGAGCUUCUGGAGUUAAGCACAAAAAACCAUCCUCAUUUUAUAAAAGGGAAGCCAAUGUGCAGAAAGGCUAAUGAAUUUGCCAAAGACUGCAGAACUGGCAAAUGUUAGAUCCAAUAUUUGAAUCAAGGAUGCUAGAUUCUAAAACCCUUAAACUGGUUUACCAAACUGCUAACAAACUGGGCAGAUGAACUCAACACAGAAAAUCUCAAGGAUGUCCAGGUCUGGAUUCUGUUUCUUCUAUCCUGGUCUCUGUCUAGUCUAAGUUUUGUCUUGAUCUACAACUUCUGGGGAGUGGAAAAAAAAAUAAGAGUGAUAUAAAAAUCUGGGAUCGGUAUGUUAAGGAAGAAGAAAGGAAAGAGAAAAUAAUGAGCUUUAUUUAACUAAACCAUUCCUGUUGCCUAAUAUUUAAAUAUACAUUUGGAAAUUUUGCAAAAUCUGCUACGGUGGAGUCAAUUAGGGAGGAGACUUAGGUAAAGGGGAAGAUGGACUGAGCAGUUUUGGAAGAUGUGGUGUGAUGACUGAAUGCCCAUUCUCAUAGACGCUAUGAAUGGAGUGGGCUCAGCAACAGGAGGCCACCAGAACUCAUAUUUGUGAGACAGAGAGUAAGAAAUCAAAGUGACUUCUUCUCCCUACUUCUAACUAUUGAAAACAUAUUGAACAAUAAAAGCCAUUCCGUGCUCUGAAUUAGAAAGGUGAUGAGGUUGAUGUAGUUCAAUGUCACUCAUACACACAUACAUCCUUUUCUUAUGUUCUUAAAUAUGUCAUUGACAUGGAGAAAAGGAGAUUAAAAAGAGAAAGAGAAGCAACAGGAGAUGUAGGCAAAGAGCACUGGUAAAUUGGAUCAUGUGCUCAAGAUAGAUCUUUCCAGCUCUUAAAAAUUUUGUUCCUUUUUAAAUUUUUUUUCAUUUCUGAAAUGGUUCAAUCUCCUUGAAAAAAAUUUACAUAACACGUGGCUUAGUGAGGAAUAAACAGAGAAGAUCUAGAAAGCACUUUGCAGGUCAUUAACUGCUAUAUAAAUAGUAAACACAUAAUAAUGUUAAUAGCUUUAAGGACAGGCAUAACUCAAAGGUAUUGUGGGUUCCAUUCCAGACCACCACAAUAAAAGUAAAUAUCCCAGUAACGUGAGGCAAAUGAAAUGUUUGGCUUUCCAGUGUCCAUAAAAGUUACAUACACACCAUACUGUAGCCUAUUAAGCGUGCAACAGCAUUCUUUAUGAUUAAAGAAACAUAUCUUAAUUUUAAAAAGUGCUUUCUUGCUAAAAAAUGCUAACCAUCAUCUGAGCUUUCAGUGAGUCAUAAUUGGUUUUGCUGGUGCAAGGUUUUGUCUCAGUGUUGAUGGCUGCUGACUGAUCAGAGUGGUGGUUGCUGAAGGCUGGGGUGGCUUAUUUCUUAAAAUAAGACAACAAUGAAGCUUGCCACAUCGAUCAAUUCUUCCUUUCAGGAAGGACUUCUCUGUAGUGUGUGAUGCUUUUUGACAGUAUUUUACCCAUGAUAGGACUUCUUUCACAACUGGAGUCAAAACUUUCAAAAAAUUGGAGUCUAGCCCUUAAGAAGUUUAUGUAAAAUUCUAAAUUGUUCAUUGCCAUUUCAACCAUCUUCACAGCAUCUUCACCAAGAAUAGAUUCUAUUUCAAGAAGCCAGUUUCCUCCCUCAUCCAUAAGAAGCAACUCCUCAUUUGUUAAUGUUUUAUCAUGAAAUUGUAGCAACUCAAUCCCACCCUCAGGUCCCAUUUCUACUUCUAGCUCUCUUGCUAUUUCCACCACACCUGCACUCACUUCCUCCACUGAAGUCUUGAACCCCAAAAGUCAUCCAUGAAGGUUAGAAUCAACUUCUUCCUAGCUCCUGUUCAGGUUGAUACUUUAACCUCUUCCCAUGACUCAUGAAAGUUCUUAAUAGCAUCUAGAAUCGUGAAUCUUUUCCGGAAGGUUUUCAAUUGACUUUGCCCGGAUUAUUCUGAGCAAUCACUAUCUGUGGUGGCCAUAGCCUUACAAAAUGUAUUUUUAAAAUAAUGAGACCUGAAAGUCAAAAUUACUCCUUGGUCCAGGGGCUGCAGAAUGGAUGUUGUGUUAGCAGGCAUUAAGACAGCAUUGAUCUUAUUGGAUAGCCCAUCAGAGCUCUUGUCUGGCUAGAUUGUCAAUAUUUUGAAAGGGAUCUUUUUUUUUUUUUUUUUUUUUCCUGAGUGGUAAGGCUCAGCAGUAGGCUUAAAAUAUUCAUUAAACCAGAUGUACUGUCACUUUGUCGUUCCACUUAUAGGGUACAGGCAGAGUAUAUUUAGAAGGAUUCUUAAGGGCCCUAGGAUUUUCAGGGUGGUAAAUGAGCACUAGCUUCAACUUAACAUCACCAGCUGCAUUAGCCCCUAACAAGAGAGUCAACCUGUCCUUUGAAGCUUUGAUGUCAGUCAUUGAUCGACUUCUCUUCUCUGGCUAUGAACAUCCGAGGUGCCUCAUCUCUCAAUAUGAUGAUGCUAUUGUAUCUGCAUUGAAAAUCUGUUGUUUAGCGUAACCACCUUUAUUAAUUAUCUGAGUUAGAUCUCUGGAUAACUUGUAGCUUGGACAUCAGCACUUGCUGCCUCAUCUUGCAGCACUUUUACGUUAUGACGAUGGCUUCUUUCCUUAAAUCUCAGGAGCCAACCUCUGCUUAGCUUCAAACUUUUCUCCUGCAGCUUCCUCUCCUCUCAAGCUUUGGUUUAAAGGAAUAUUGUGGCUUGUUAAAUCUAUCCAGAUCACUAAAACUUUCUCCAUAUCAGCAAUAAGGCUGAUUUAUUUUUUUAUCAUAUGUGUGCUCAUUGGGCUCGCACUUUUCAUUUCUUUCAAGAACUUUCCCGUUGCAUUCACAACUUUGCUAACUGUUGGGCCUAGCUUUUGACUUAUUUCAGCUUUCAACAUGCCUUGCUCACUAAACUUCAUCAUUUCUAGCUUCUGAUAUAAAUGAGAGGCAGUAACUUUUCCUUUCACUUGAACGUUUAGAGGCCAUUGUAGGGGAUAUUAAUUGGCCUAAUUUCAAUCUUGUCCUAUUUCAGGGACUGGGAGGCCUGAGGAGAGAGAGAGAGACAAAGAGACAGAGAGACAGAAGGGGAAACAGCCGGUUGCUAGAGCCAUCAGAGCACAACACAACAUUUAUCAAUUAAAUUUACCAUCUUAUACAAGUGCAGUUUGUGGUGCCCCAAAACAAUUAUAAUAGUAACAUCAAAGAUCAUGUAACACAGAUCACCACAACAAAUAUAAUCAUAAUGAAAAAGCUUGAAAUAUUGCAAGAAUUAUCAAAGUGUAAUUUUGAUAGAUGCGAAGUGAGUGAAUGCUGUUGGAAAAAUGGCACCAAUACAUCUGCUUGAGGCAGGGUUGCCACAAACCCCCGAUUUGUAAAAUACACAGUGUGCAAAGUGUGCUACAGUGAAGUGCAAUAAAACAGGGUAUGGCUACAUCCUAUUUGAUCUGCAAUGCCCUCCAGUAAUGAUGUUAUGGAAUUAGGGAGGGCUAAUAAUUUGGCAAAAUGAAAAAUGAGAAAAAAGAGAAAUGUGUAUGAUCUUAUAAAUGUUUGGCCAUAUUAUAAAGUUAAGAUAAAAUUGCCUUUGAUCUCUAUCUGAAACCAAACAUUUGUUGAAAAUUCUUAUUCUUGGCAAAGCACCUCCCUCAGGCCUUUAAAGAGCUAAUUUGGGGAGCUAAUAUGCGUUCUCCAGCAUCAAUUAACA
This 4648-nucleotide long non-coding RNA is filed under the name Canis lupus familiaris (dog). RNAcentral's name for it is "lncRNA (ENSCAFG00040010372.1)". Lineage: Eukaryota; Metazoa; Chordata; Mammalia; Carnivora; Canidae. The record is from RNAcentral.